This is a long non-coding RNA of Triplophysa rosa, 398 nucleotides long. RefSeq lists it as uncharacterized. The transcript is spliced from 3 exons. The record is from RefSeq and is a predicted model, not a curated record. NCBI's taxonomy places the organism in Eukaryota, Metazoa, Chordata, Actinopteri, Cypriniformes, Nemacheilidae.
UGCUUAUCGUUCUUCCAUGAUCACCUCCAUGUGAGCCCACAAAAUGUGGAUCUGGUUGUGGAAGUGUGCCGUACAUCUCCUGGAGCAUCCGAGGAGGAAAAGAAAGCUUAAGUUAUUACAUUCUUGACAGGCUGAAAGAGUAACUCCAGUGUUGAGUUAUGUGGGCUGCUGGAUGGAGUGCAUCUGUCCACAAAGCCCACCGUAACACCUGCACCACCUGCUGGACUUGAGUGUCCACCUCCUCCCUCAAGUUGUGUUAAAAAACAGGACCCACUGUGACGCCAGCUCAUCGGUGCAGAUCACUAUGACCUCUUGGUUCUUUAGAAAACAGGACCCCACUUUUAAAGCAUCUGGUUCACAUCAGCUAGUUUCUCUCGAUUGCUAACAUACUUAAUACU